CCCAACUAUCCCUAUUAAUCAUUACGGUGAUUCAGAAACCAACAAAACAGGACCACCGUCCUAUUUUAUUAUUCCAUGCUAAUGUAUUCAGACAUAAGCCUGCUUUGAACACUCUAAUUUUUUCAAGGUAAAGGUCCUGGUUUCCCACUACGCUAAAUUAAUAACAUAAUGGUUCCCCAGAAGGUAGAAAUUCUACACGCCAGUACAGACAAAGCCCGACCAACGGUAGAACCCCGAAAUUCAACUACGAG
This 251-nucleotide ribosomal RNA is filed under the name uncultured Cetraspora. RNAcentral's name for it is "partial 18S ribosomal RNA". The record is from RNAcentral. Lineage: Eukaryota; Fungi; Glomeromycota; Glomeromycetes; Diversisporales; Gigasporaceae.